Molecule: long non-coding RNA, 418 nt
Organism: Xyrauchen texanus (razorback sucker)
Lineage: Eukaryota; Metazoa; Chordata; Actinopteri; Cypriniformes; Catostomidae
Exons: 3
Source: RefSeq, a predicted model, not a curated record
GUGUGUGUGUGUGUGUGUUCUGAUACCUGUCCUGUAGGGUUAGGUGUGUGUGUGUUCUGAUACCUGUCCUGUAGGGUUAGGUGUGUGUGUGUGUGUGUGUGUGUUCUGAUACCUGUCCUGUAGGGUUAGGUGUGUGUGUGUGUGUGUGUGUGUGUGUGUGUGUUCUGAUACCUGUCCUGUAGGGUUAGGUGUGUGUGUGUGUGUGUGUUCUGAUACCUGUCCUGUAGGGUUAGGUGUGUGUGUGUUCUGAUACUUGUCCUGUAGGGUUAGGUGUGUGUGUGUGUGUGUGUGUGUGUGUGUGUGUGUGUGUGUGUGUGUGUGUGUGUGUGUUCUGAUACCUGUCCUGUAGGGUUAGGUGUGUGUGUGUGUGUUCUGAUACCUAUCCUGUAGGUGUGUGUGUUCUGAUACCUGUCCUGUA